This 31-nucleotide ribosomal RNA is filed under the name 'Aporospora terricola' (nom. ined.). RNAcentral's name for it is "Aporospora terricola partial 28S ribosomal RNA". Lineage: Eukaryota; Fungi; Ascomycota. The record is from RNAcentral.
CUCGGAUCAGGUAGGGAUACCCGCUGAACUU